AAAGGCCUACCAAGGCGACGAUGCGUAGCCGACCUGAGAGGGUGAUCGGCCACACUGGGACUGAGACACGGCCCAGACUCCUACGGGAGGCAGCAGUAGGGAAUCUUCCGCAAUGGGCGAAAGCCUGACGGAGCAACGCCGCGUGAGUGAUGAAGGUUUUCGGAUCGUAAAGCUCUGUUGCCAGGGAAGAACGUCUUGUAGAGUAACUGCUACAAGAGUGACGGUACCUGAGAAGAAAGCCCCGGCUAACUACGUGCCAGCAGCCGCGGUAAUACGUAGGGGGCAAGCGUUGUCCGGAAUUAUUGGGCGUAAAGCGCGCGCAGGCGGCUCUUUAAGUCUGGUGUUUAAUCCCGAGGCUCAACUUCGGGUCGCACUGGAAACUGGGGAGCUUGAGUGCAGAAGAGGAGAGUGGAAUUCCACGUGUAGCGGUGAAAUGCGUAGAGAUGUGGAGGAACACCAGUGGCGAAGGCGACUCUCUGGGCUGUAACUGACGCUGAGGCGCGAAAGCGUGGGGAGCAAACAGGAUUAGAU
This 531-nucleotide ribosomal RNA is filed under the name Paenibacillus polymyxa. Its description in RNAcentral is "bacterial SSU rRNA". It matches the Rfam family "Bacterial small subunit ribosomal RNA", at positions 259 to 783 of the family's 1533-position model. Lineage: Bacteria; Bacillati; Bacillota; Bacilli; Caryophanales; Paenibacillaceae. The record is from RNAcentral.